This 155-nucleotide ribosomal RNA is filed under the name bacterium. RNAcentral's name for it is "partial 16S ribosomal RNA". It matches the Rfam family "Bacterial small subunit ribosomal RNA", at positions 1 to 153 of the family's 1533-position model. The record is from RNAcentral.
ACAACGGAGAGUUUGAUCCUGGCUCAGAACGAACGUUGGCGGCGUGGUUUAGGCAUGCAAGUCGAACGAGAAAGCUUCCUUCGGGAAGUGAGUAAAGUGGCGAACGGGAGAGUAACGCGUGGGAAACCUACCCUUCAGCGGGGGACAACACCUCU